UAUUUUUAGUGAGAAAUGCUAAUUAGUCAUAAAGCAACAGAGCAACUUAGUUUUUCCCCUUUUACAGACUAAGGAUACCUUGCGCCUCACAUAAAUUAAUCAGAAGCAGGUUGUUUCAUCAUCCUGAAAGUAACACAUGGACAACAUGGAGGUGUACCAGGCAGAGAAACACGCCGAGGACCUCUAGUGGACAGGUGAGGGAAAAGUGGGCAAGAGAGCUGAAGGCACUGCAACUGAAAGACAACUGAGCAACAGAUGUCCCUUUUCCUGGAAAUGUCAGACGAAGAACAACAAGCAGAAGAAGCCACAGAAAAUGAGAUAAUCCAAGGAAAACCACCAUCGAUAAGGCAAAAGACAAAGAAUCAAAAUGAUGGACUCAUCUUCUCCCACUAAAGAAGAACUGUCUAUGUAUAUGAUGAUGCUGCAUGUGAACUGGUUCACCCAUAGCGAUCUCCUGCUAUUCAAACAAUGGACUGAAUUUAAAGAAUAAUGCUGACCUCAGAGUUCUGAAGCAGAGAUGAUUUUUGAGACACAGCAAGCUCAAAUAGUCGAUUUGUGUCUGGACUUUUAUUUAAAUGACUGUGGAGACGUCUUCAGCACUAAGAACACUUAAGCUGCUUUUCCUGAUACACAG
Molecule: long non-coding RNA, 634 nt
Organism: Larimichthys crocea (large yellow croaker)
Lineage: Eukaryota; Metazoa; Chordata; Actinopteri; Sciaenidae
Exons: 4
Source: RefSeq, a predicted model, not a curated record